Macaca fascicularis (crab-eating macaque) is the source of this 107-nucleotide small nuclear RNA. Lineage: Eukaryota; Metazoa; Chordata; Mammalia; Primates; Cercopithecidae. The record is from Ensembl.
GUGCUCGCUUUGGGAGCACAUAUACUAAAAUUGGAAUGAUACAGAGAAGAUUAGCAUCGGCCCUGCACAAAAAUUAUUUUUAAAAAUUAAAAUUUUAAAAAAUGAAG